RNAcentral lists this ribosomal RNA (497 nucleotides) under uncultured bacterium. RNAcentral describes it as "partial 16S ribosomal RNA". It matches the Rfam family "Bacterial small subunit ribosomal RNA", at positions 28 to 507 of the family's 1533-position model. The record is from RNAcentral.
GAUGAACGCUGGCGGCGUGCCUAAUACAUGCGAGUCGAGCGAACGGACGAGAAGCUUGCUGCUCUGAUGUUAGCGGCGGACGGGUGAGUAACACGUGGAUAACCUACCUAUAAGACUGGGAUAACUUCGGGAAACCGGAGCUAAUACCGGAUAAUAUUUUGAACCGCAUGGUUCAAAAGUGAAAGACGGUCUUGCUGUCACUUAUAGAUGGAUCCGCGCUGCAUUAGCUAGUUGGUAAGGUAACGGCUUACCAAGGCAACGAUGCAUAGCCGACCUGAGAGGGUGAUCGGCCACACUGGAACUUAGACACGGUCCAGACUCCUACGGGAGGCAGCAGUAGGGAAUCUUCCGCAAUGGGCGAAAGCCUGACGGAGCAACGCCGCGUGAGUGAUGAAGGUCUUCGGAUCGUAAAACUCUGUUAUUAGGGAAGAACAUAUGUGUAAAUAACUGUGCACAUCUUGACGGUACCUAAUCAGAAAGCCACGGCUAACUACGUG